GCAUUGAAACUAUCUCUACAAACAGUUAGCAUUGCGAUUUUGACUUGAAAGUUUGGUUUAAAUUUGAUCAUUGAUGUGCAAAAGGUUUUCUUGGGCCCAUAAAAAAAUUGGUCUUUGAGUGCAAAAAUAUAAGGGAGCUUGACUGCAAGAUCCACUUGUCAAACAAGUAAGAAAAUCGAACUUGUUGAUCCAAUAGUAUCUAGUGAAAGAGUGGUCGCUCAACAAAUAAAAGUUAUUUAAGGAAUAACCAGCUGAUCUUCCCCAAGAGAUCACAUCAACGGGAAGACAUCAACGAGAAGGU
RNAcentral lists this ribosomal RNA (301 nucleotides) under Olea europaea subsp. europaea. Its description in RNAcentral is "Bacterial large subunit ribosomal RNA". It matches the Rfam family "Bacterial large subunit ribosomal RNA", at positions 2231 to 2533 of the family's 2925-position model. Lineage: Eukaryota; Viridiplantae; Streptophyta; Magnoliopsida; Lamiales; Oleaceae. The record is from Rfam by way of RNAcentral.